Molecule: transfer RNA, 83 nt
Filed under: Thermoplasmata archaeon
Lineage: Archaea; Methanobacteriati; Thermoplasmatota; Thermoplasmata
Also listed under: 1 other name
Description: tRNA-Ser
Rfam family: tRNA
About the family: Transfer RNA (tRNA) molecules are approximately 80 nucleotides in length.
Source: RNAcentral
GCUGAGGUAGCCUAGCCCGGGAAGGCGCCAGUCUUGAAAACUGGUGGCGAUUCGCCUCGGGAGUUCAAAUCUCCCCCUCAGCG